ACCUCUAGCAUUACUAGUAUUAGAGGCACUGCCUGCCCGGUGACACACGUUUAACGGCCGCGGUACCCUGACCGUGCAAAGGUAGCAUAAUCACUUGUUCUUUAAAUAGGGACUUGCAUGAAUGGCAUCACGAGGGUUUAACUGUCUCUUACUUUCAACCAGUGAAAUUGACCUAUCCGUGAAGAGACGGGUAUGAUAUAAUAAGACGAGAAGACCCUAUGGAGCUUUAAUUUAUUAAUGCAACUAAAAACCACACAAACCUACAGGCUCCUAAACUACUACACCUGCAUUAAAAAUUUUGGUUGGGGUGACCUCGGAGCACAGCUAAACCUCCGAAUAAUCCAUGCUAAGACUAUACAAGUCAAAGCGAACUAAUAUUUACAACUGAUCCAAUAACUUGAUCAACGGAACAAGUUACCCUAGGGAUAACAGCGCAAUUCUAUUCUAGAGUCCAUAUCAACAAUAGAGUUUACGACCUCGAUGUUGGAUCAGGACAUCCUAAUGGUGCAGCAGCUAUCAAG
Molecule: ribosomal RNA, 521 nt
Filed under: Cercocebus atys (sooty mangabey)
Lineage: Eukaryota; Metazoa; Chordata; Mammalia; Primates; Cercopithecidae
Description: partial 16S ribosomal RNA
Rfam family: Bacterial large subunit ribosomal RNA
Source: RNAcentral